GCCCUUGUAGCUCAACUGGUAGAGCAUCUGAUUUGUAAUCAGGGGGUUGCGGGUUCAAGUCCUGCCGGGGGCACCA
RNAcentral lists this transfer RNA (76 nucleotides) under Roseospira visakhapatnamensis. RNAcentral's name for it is "tRNA-Thr". It matches the Rfam family "tRNA". Rfam says of the family: Transfer RNA (tRNA) molecules are approximately 80 nucleotides in length. The record is from RNAcentral. Lineage: Bacteria; Pseudomonadati; Pseudomonadota; Alphaproteobacteria; Rhodospirillales; Rhodospirillaceae.